RNAcentral lists this ribosomal RNA (410 nucleotides) under uncultured bacterium. RNAcentral describes it as "bacterial SSU rRNA". It matches the Rfam family "Bacterial small subunit ribosomal RNA", at positions 794 to 1204 of the family's 1533-position model. The record is from RNAcentral.
UCCACGCCGUAAACGAUGAAUACUAGGUGUCGGGUGUCAAAGCUCGGUGCCGCAGCUAACGCAUUAAGUAUUCCGCCUGGGGAGUACGCACGCAAGUGUGAAACUCAAAGGAAUUGACGGGGACCCGCACAAGCAGCGGAGCAUGUGGUUUAAUUCGAAGCAACGCGAAGAACCUUACCAGAUCUUGACAUCCAAUUGACCAUCUUUUAAUCGAGAUUUUGCCUUCGGGUACAAUUGAGACAGGUGGUGCAUGGUUGUCGUCAGCUCGUGUCGUGAGAUGUUGGGUUAAGUCCCGCAACGAGCGCAACCCUUGUGUUUAGUUGCAAACAGGUAAUGCUGUGCACUCUAGACAGACUGCCGUGGACAACACGGAGGAAGGUGGGGAUGACGUCAAAUCAUCAUGCCCCUUA